CCGAGUUGCAAAACUCCCAAACCAUUGUGAACCUUACCUAUCGUUGCUUCGGCGGAUCCGCCCCGGCGCUCUCGCGACCGGAACCAUGGCGCCCGCCGGGGGAAAACCAAAACCUUUGAAUCUCUGUGGAUUAUCUGAGUGGCGAAAGCACAAAUACAAUCA
Molecule: unclassified non-coding RNA, 162 nt
Filed under: uncultured Nectria
Lineage: Eukaryota; Fungi; Ascomycota; Sordariomycetes; Hypocreales; Nectriaceae
Description: sequence contains ITS1
Source: RNAcentral